GCAGGCAGGGCAACUGGUAAACCGCGUGGCUAACCACGAAAGACCGGGUUCGAUUCCCGGGCCUGCU
Molecule: transfer RNA, 67 nt
Filed under: Sinorhizobium medicae
Lineage: Bacteria; Pseudomonadati; Pseudomonadota; Alphaproteobacteria; Hyphomicrobiales; Rhizobiaceae
Also listed under: 1 other name
Description: tRNA-OTHER
Source: RNAcentral